RNAcentral lists this ribosomal RNA (245 nucleotides) under Klebsiella pneumoniae. RNAcentral describes it as "partial 16S ribosomal RNA". It matches the Rfam family "Bacterial small subunit ribosomal RNA", at positions 1 to 246 of the family's 1533-position model. Lineage: Bacteria; Pseudomonadati; Pseudomonadota; Gammaproteobacteria; Enterobacterales; Enterobacteriaceae. The record is from RNAcentral.
AUUGAAGAGUUUGAUCAUGGCUCAGAUUGAACGCUGGCGGCAGGCCUAACACAUGCAAGUCGAGCGGUAGCACAGAGAGCUUGCUCUCGGGUGACGAGCGGCGGACGGGUGAGUAAUGUCUGGGAAACUGCCUGAAGGAGGGGGAUAACUACUGGAAACGGUAGCUAAUACCGCAUAACGUCGCAAGACCAAAGUGGGGGACCUUCGGGCCUCAUGCCAUCAGAUGUGCCCAGAUGGGAUUAGCU